GAUGAACGCUGGCGGCGUGCCUAAUACAUGCAAGUCGAGCGAACAGAGGAGGAUCUUUCUCCGCUGACGUGAGCGGCGGACGGGUGAGGAACACGUGGAUAACCUGCCUAUAAGACUGGGAUAACGUCGGGAAACCGGAGCUAAUACCGGUUAAUAGGUUGAACCGCAUGGUUCAAUAGUGAAAGACGGUUUUGCUGUCACUUAUGGAUGGAUCCGCGCCGCAUUAGCUAGUUGGUAAGGUAACGGCUUACCAAGGCAACGAUGCGUAGCCGACCUGAGAGGGUGAUCGGCCACACUGGAACUGAGACACGGUCCAGACUCCUACGGGAGGCAGCAGUAGGGAAUAUUGCGCAAUGGGCGAAAGCCUGACGGAGCAACGCCGCGUGAGUGAUGAAGGUCUUCGGAUCGUAAAACUCUGUUACUAGGGAAGAACAAAUGUGUAAGUAACCAUGCACGUCUUGACGGUACCUAAUCAGAAAGCCCCGGCUAACUACGUG
This 497-nucleotide ribosomal RNA is filed under the name uncultured bacterium. Its description in RNAcentral is "partial 16S ribosomal RNA". It matches the Rfam family "Bacterial small subunit ribosomal RNA", at positions 28 to 507 of the family's 1533-position model. The record is from RNAcentral.